This is a long non-coding RNA of Homo sapiens (human), 1856 nucleotides long. Ensembl annotates it as long intergenic non-protein coding RNA 654. The record is from Ensembl. NCBI's taxonomy places the organism in Eukaryota, Metazoa, Chordata, Mammalia, Primates, Hominidae.
GCCUUUGCCUACCUCUCAGUCUCAGAGGAACCCCUUCGUUGAGUUUUUUCCUCCUUUUGGCUCUUGCGUUUCUCUCACCCCAUCUCACCUCCGCCUGUCCAUCAUGAGCCUAUUCUAUUCCCUGUCCUAAGUUUGCACAAGAGACAAACCUGAGGCUCAGAUUGGGUAACACGGCCACAGGUUGACAGCCCAGAUGUGAUGAGCAGGAACAGAGAGAGCAGAGUCCCCAGGUGAAUGGUCAGGCCUUGGGGACUUCAACAAAGAAAGCUCGGCACAGUCACAGCAACUCUCCAAAUCAUGACGCUCAAAAUGCCACAUCUAAAAAGAACAUCCGGCAAUCAGCCAUGACUGCCUUUGCACUGUCCAUGCUCUCAGCCCACCACCUCCUCCCCCUGCCAUUGCAGUGGCUAACACUGGAGACGAAGACCAAGACACCACAGCCUUUCUCCAGUACCUCUCAAAUCAGCACAGACAAGGACAAAGGCCUCAAUCCACAACUGCUGAAGAUGGACCCUGGCCACAUGGGAUGGUCAGACACGCCUGCCCAGCUAUCUGCAGGCGAAGAGGCUCAGAAGAGGUUUAGGGGCCUGAAGGACAUCUUGCUUCCAUGUCCAUAUGAGCAGGCUAUUUCUGCUCCAUGAGUCAAUUUUGCCAUAUAAAAUACUUAAUUUCAGCCAUUCCAGGGUGCUAUAGGAUGCACAGCUUCCCAUCAGCCCACCUGAACUCCAGCCAUGCCAUUUUAAUACCAGGAAUAAGGUCACCUGCUUUCCUGCCCCUUAGGAGGCCGGAGCCGUGGAAGCAAAAUGGCACUUCUGUUUACCUGUUAUAUUAUUUUUUUGUCAUCCUUAUAUGUUUGAAAAAUGCAAUUAUAUGAAAAAAGUUUAGUAAUUACAGACAUAACAGCAGAAAGUCCUCGGAACCAAGCUUAUUCUCAUGGCCGAUUCUGCUCCACCUGGGACUCUGCUGUGCUGCGGGCAUCCUGUGGUCAGAAUCGCAGAGGGGCCAUCAGGGAGGACCUUCCCAGAGGAUGGACCUCACGUGACUGCUGCGUGGGCAAGUGGCACUGGCCACUCUGCCUGGAGAGAGGAGUAAAUGCAGGGCUGGCCAGGCGACCUGCACACUCUGCUACCGGCCUUGUCCAUCUUUAGCCUCUAAUUUGAAAAUGAGGAUCACACAGACCAAGAGUAUCUUUGAGGGGUGCAUUUCUCACCUGCACUGUGGUCCAGGAAACUCAAGUCACCGUCCCCACCAUGUUCUUCCUGACUUCGAAGCAGUCUGGUGACCCCAGGCAGGAACUGACUAGCAUGAGAGUCUUGAUGCAGGAGAAUUUUUGAAGAAAUUCAGAAGCAGAACCGAAAGGAGGAGAGAAGCCACCUCCACCCUGUCCACUAACCUUCAGUGGGAACAGCAGAUGCAACUGGCGGGGCUGAAGGAAACAGCAGGCAGUGAGAUGGAGUGAGAACUGGAAUAAGGCAAGGAAUAUUGCUGAGAUGGUUCUCAAAUCAAUGGAGAGAGAUGUCCGUGGAUGAAUCACAAAGGGAGGGAAUGGGUGCAAAGGCCUCACUGAGAUCCAAUGACAGCAGAAGCUGCCAGGAUCUGACGUAAACCAGUUUGGUUGAAGUGUUGGGGGAGGCUAUAUGACCACAUUUUGUUUCUAUUGGCACAAUUCCAUACAUGGAAAAUGUCAUGAGACUCAAAAAUGGGUUCAGCAGAAGCUCAAAAAUAUGCUACAAAAUUCAGGAAGAAGCUAAAAUAUUAUCAGAUUAUUUUAUAAAGGACACAACUAGUCAGGAACCUUUUGAAAACACCAGCAUGCAUCAUCCAAAGAAGUAGAAUCCAAUUAAAAAAAAAAAAAA